RNAcentral lists this ribosomal RNA (440 nucleotides) under uncultured bacterium. RNAcentral's name for it is "partial 16S ribosomal RNA". It matches the Rfam family "Bacterial small subunit ribosomal RNA", at positions 338 to 795 of the family's 1533-position model. The record is from RNAcentral.
CCUACAGGAGGCAGCAGUGGGGAAUAUUGCACAAUGGGGGAAACCCUGAUGCAGCGACGCCGCGUGAGUGAAGAAGUAUCUCGGUACGUAAAGCUCUAUCAGCAGGGACGAAAAUGACGGUACCUGACUAAGAAGCCCCGGCUAACUACGUGCCAGCAGCCGCGGUAAUACGUAGGGGGCAAGCGUUAUACGGAUUUACUGGGUGUAAGGGGGACGUAGAGGGCAGCACAAGUCUGGAGUGAACUCCCGGGGCUUAACCCCGGGACUGCUUUGGAAACUGGGCGGCUGGAGUGCAGGAGGGGCAAGCGGAAUUCCUAGUGUAGCGGUGAAAUGCGUAGAUAUUAGGAGGAACACCGGUGGCGAAGGCGGCUUACUGGACUGUAACUGACGUUGAGGCUCGAAAGCGUGGGGAGCAAACAGGAUUAGAUACCCCAGUAGUC